Molecule: ribosomal RNA, 468 nt
Filed under: uncultured bacterium
Lineage: Bacteria
Description: partial 16S ribosomal RNA
Rfam family: Bacterial small subunit ribosomal RNA
Source: RNAcentral
GACGAACGCUGGCGGCGUGCUUAACACAUGCAAGUCGAACGGAAAGGCCCUGCUUUUGUGGGGUGCUCGAGUGGCGAACGGGUGAGUAACACGUGAGUAACCUGCCCUUGACUUUGGGAUAACUUCAGGAAACUGGGGCUAAUACCGGAUAGGAGCUCCUGCUGCAUGGUGGGGGUUGGAAAGUUUCGGCGGUUGGGGAUAGACUCGCGGCUUAUCCGCUUGUUGGUGGGGUAGUGGCUUACCAAGGCUUUGACGGAUAGCCGGCCUGAGAGGGUGACCGGGCACAAUGGGACUGAGAGACGGCGCAGACUCCUACGGGAGGCAGAAGGCGGGAAUAUGACACAAUAGGCGGAAGCCUGAUACAGCAACGCCGCGUGCGGGAUGACGGCCUUCGGGGUGUAAACCGCUGUCGCCUGUGACGAAGCGUGAGUGACGGUAAUGAGUAAAGAAGCACCGGCUAACUACGUG